GGCCCCAUAGGUGGCUAUGGGGUUCUUGCGAGCUCUUGCGGGCGUUCACGCAGCGCCGCGGUCACGCCCAGCACUCACGUGCUUGGAUGCGAUUUAGGACUGCAGGUGCCAUGCAUCCUUUACAGCGUGUCUUCCGAGCACAGAGGCUAUCAGCACCAUUGACCUCCAUGUGCUGGGUGUUGCUUAGGACCUUCAGGGCACAUAACAGCACUUCCUGUCCUGAUCCAGAGGGGAAGAGCUCAGAAGGAGUUCAGAAGGAUUUCAGCUCCAGGCUAGCCACUGGACCGUCUUUUCAGCAUUUUUUAAGAAGUGCUUCAGUUCCUCAAGAGAAACCAUCUUCUCCAGAAGUGGAGGACCCACCUCCCUAUCUCUCAGGGGAUGAACUUCUAGGAAGGCAGAGAAAGGUCUACCUCGAGACCUAUGGCUGUCAGAUGAAUGUGAAUGACACAGAGAUAGCCUGGUCCAUUUUACAGAAGAGCGGCUACUUGCGGACCAGCAACCUUCAAGAGGCUGAUGUGAUCCUUCUUGUCACGUGUUCUAUCAGGGAGAAGGCUGAGCAGACCAUCUGGAACCGUUUACAUCAGCUAAAAGUCCUGAAGGCAAAGCGACCACGCUCUCGGGUACCUCUGAGGAUUGGGAUUCUAGGCUGUAUGGCUGAGAGACUGAAGGGAGAGAUCCUCAACAGGGAGAAAAUGGUAGAUCUCUUGGCUGGUCCAGAUGCCUAUCGAGACCUUCCACGGCUGCUGGCUGUUGUGGAGUCAGGUCAGCAAGCAGCAAAUGUGCUUCUCUCUCUGGAUGAGACCUACGCGGAUAUCAUGCCAGUCCAAACGAGCCCCAGUGCCACUUCUGCCUUCGUGUCAAUCAUGCGGGGCUGCGACAACAUGUGCAGUUACUGUAUCGUUCCUUUCACUCGGGGCAGGGAGAGGAGUCGGCCAGUUGCCUCCAUUCUAGAUGAAGUGAGGAAGCUCUCUGAGCAGGGGCUAAAAGAAGUGACACUUCUAGGUCAGAAUGUUAAUAGUUUUCGGGACAAUUCAGAAGUCCAGUUCAGUAGUACAGGAUCUGCCAACCUCAGCCGUGGCUUUACUACCAACUAUAAACCCAAACAAGGAGGGCUUCGUUUUUCUCACCUUCUGGAUCAGGUUUCAAGAAUAGAUCCUGAAAUGAGGAUUCGUUUCACCUCUCCUCACCCCAAGGAUUUUCCCGAUGAGGUUCUACAGCUGAUUCGUGAGAGACACAACAUCUGUAAGCAGAUCCACUUGCCAGCCCAGAGUGGGAGCAGCCGUGUACUGGAGGCCAUGCGGAGAGGAUAUUCAAGAGAAGCAUACGUGGCUCUGGUUCAUCAUAUCAGGGAGGCUAUCCCAGGUGUGGGCCUCAGCAGCGACUUCAUCACUGGCUUCUGUGGAGAGACAGAGGAUGAUCACCUGCAGACAGUGUCUCUACUUCGAGAAGUUCAGUACAAUACUGGUUUUCUCUUUGCAUACAGCAUGAGGCAAAAGACACGAGCGUAUCAUAGGCUGAAGGAUGACGUUCCAGAAGAAGUAAAAUUAAGGCGUUUGGAGGAACUUAUUACUGUCUUCCGAGAAGAAGCUUCAAAAGUCAAUGCGACCUCAGUAGGUUGUACCCAGCUGGUAUUGGUUGAAGGGUUCAGCAAGCGUUCUAACACAGACCUGUGUGGCCGAAAUGAUGCAAACCUUAAGGUGAUUUUCCCUGAUGCCGAGGUGGAGGAUAUCACUGACCCUGGGCUCAAGGUCAGAGCUCAGCCUGGGGACUAUGUGCUGGUGAAGGUCUAUAUACCCAUGGCUGGCUGAAACUCCCUAUGUAGAUGAGACCUACCUGGAACUCAACACAGAUCUGUCUUCCUUCUGAACAUUGGGAUAAAAGAUCACCUCUGCCAGUUCUCAAACUCUCAAAGGACACAUUCUCUGCAGGACCACUAUGAAAGACUCAUCAAUGAAUUGCUUGACCUGAGUUGGUGGCUUAGUGGUGGACUUGGGCAGUUUUUUCUCAUGCUUUGGAGACAAGGUAAAGUCUUGAAGCAUCUUCGCACCAAAUGGAAGAGUACAUUUCUCUGUUGUCACUCAAACAACUGUUACAAUAAUAAAUUUCAUGAAUUAAUGGC
Molecule: RNA transcript, 2119 nt
Organism: Rattus rattus (black rat)
Lineage: Eukaryota; Metazoa; Chordata; Mammalia; Rodentia; Muridae
Gene: Cdk5rap1
Gene name: CDK5 regulatory subunit associated protein 1
Exons: 15
Source: RefSeq, a predicted model, not a curated record